GCCCCGGUAGAACAGUGGUAGUGCUAAUGUAAGUGGUGAGCAAAAGCGCCUAGUAACUACGACAGGUCGCAAGUUCGAAUCCUGCCCGGUGGCU
Molecule: non-coding RNA, 94 nt
Organism: Meloidogyne enterolobii
Lineage: Eukaryota; Metazoa; Nematoda; Chromadorea; Rhabditida; Meloidogynidae
Source: the annotation of a GenBank genome assembly